GAUGAACGCUGGCGGCGUGCUUAACACAUGCAAGUCGAACGAUGAUGCUGGAGCUUGCUCCAGUUGGUUAGUGGCGAACGGGUGAGUAACACGUGAGCAAUCUGCCCUUGACUCUGGGAUAACUGCGGGAAACUGUAGCUAAUACCGGAUACUUUCACCGGAAGGCAUCUUCUGGUGAUGAAAGAAUUUCGGUCAGGGAUGAGCUCGCGGCCUAUCAGCUUGUUGGUGAGGUAACGGCUCACCAAGGCGACGACGGGUAACCGGCCUGAGAGGGUGACCGGUCACACUGGGACUGAGACACGGCCCAGACUCCUACGGGAGGCAGCAGUGGGGAAUAUUGCACAAUGGGCGCAAGCCUGAUGCAGCAACGCCGCGUGAGGGAUGGAGGCCUUCGGGUUGUAAACCUCUUUUAGCAGGGAAGAAGCGAAAGUGACGGUACUUGCAGAAAAAGCACCGGCUAACUACGUGCCAGCAGCCGCAGUAA
Molecule: ribosomal RNA, 484 nt
Filed under: uncultured bacterium
Lineage: Bacteria
Description: partial 16S ribosomal RNA
Rfam family: Bacterial small subunit ribosomal RNA
Source: RNAcentral